Molecule: ribosomal RNA, 491 nt
Filed under: uncultured bacterium
Lineage: Bacteria
Description: partial 16S ribosomal RNA
Rfam family: Bacterial small subunit ribosomal RNA
Source: RNAcentral
GAUGAACGCUGGCUACAGGCUUAACACAUGCAAGUCGAGGGGAAACGACGGGGAAGCUUGCUUCCCCGGGCGUCGACCGGCGCACGGGUGAGUAACGCGUAUCCAACCUGCCUCUGACUGAGGGAUAACCCGUCGAAAGUCGGCCUAAUACCUCAUGGCAUCGUCUGCGGGCAUCCAACGACGAUUAAAGAUUUCAUCGGUCAGAGAUGGGGAUGCGUCUGAUUAGCUUGUUGGCGGGGUAACGGCCCACCAAGGCGACGAUCAGUAGGGGUUCUGAGAGGAAGGUCCCCCACAUUGGAACUGAGACACGGUCCAAACGCCUACGGGAGGCAGCAGUGAGGAAUAUUGGUCAAUGGGCGAGAGCCUGAACCAGCCAAGUAGCGUGCAGGAGGACGGCCCUAUGGGUUGUAAACUGCUUUUAUGCGGGGAUAAAGUGAGGGACGUGUCCUUCAUUGCAGGUACCGCAUGAAUAAGGACCGGCUAAUUCCGUG